GAUGAAGAACGUAGCGAAAUGCGAUAACUAGUGUGAAUUGCAGAAUUCAGUGAAUCAUCGAAUCUUUGAACGCACAUUGCGCCCGCUGGUACUCCGGCGGGCACGCCUGUCCGAGCGUCAUUUCAACCCUCAAGCCCUCCUUCGGGAUGGGCCUGGUGUUGGGGCUCGGCCGCCAUCUCCGGCGGCCGUCCCCUAAAUACAGUGGCGGUCACGUCGCGACUCCUUUGCGUAGUAGAAACACCUCGCUCCGGAUAGCAACGCGGUCCACGCCGUAAAAUCCCCAAUUUUCAAUGGUUGACCUCGGAUCAGGUGGGAAUACCCGCUGAACUUAAGCAUAUCAAUAAGCGGAGGA
Molecule: unclassified non-coding RNA, 352 nt
Filed under: soil metagenome
Description: partial contains 5.8S ribosomal RNA, internal transcribed spacer 2, and large subunit ribosomal RNA
Rfam family: 5.8S ribosomal RNA (bases 1-120)
Source: RNAcentral